RNAcentral lists this ribosomal RNA (353 nucleotides) under uncultured bacterium. RNAcentral's name for it is "bacterial SSU rRNA". It matches the Rfam family "Bacterial small subunit ribosomal RNA", at positions 8 to 349 of the family's 1533-position model. The record is from RNAcentral.
AGAGUUUGAUCAUGGCUCAGGAUGAACGCUAGCUACAGGCUUAACACAUGCAAGUCGAGGGGAAACGACAUCGAAAGCUUGCUUUUGAUGGGCGUCGACCGGCGCACGGGUGAGUAACGCGUAUCCAACCUGCCCACCACUUGGGGAUAACCUUGCGAAAGUAAGACUAAUACCCAAUGACGUCUCUAGAAGACAUCUGAAGGAGAUUAAAGAUUUAUCGGUGAUGGAUGGGGAUGCGUCUGAUUAGCUUGGUUGGCGGGGUAACGGCCCACCAAGGCGACGAUCAGUAGGGGUCUGAGAGGAAGGUCCCCCANAUUGGAACUGACGACACGGUCCAAACUCCUACGGGAGCA